RNAcentral lists this small RNA (132 nucleotides) under Escherichia coli. Its description in RNAcentral is "RtT sRNA". It matches the Rfam family "RtT RNA". Rfam says of the family: This family represents a bacterial cis-regulatory element known as RtT RNA. Lineage: Bacteria; Pseudomonadati; Pseudomonadota; Gammaproteobacteria; Enterobacterales; Enterobacteriaceae. RNAcentral also lists the same sequence under 4 other names. The record is from RNAcentral.
AUUCUGCCCAUGCGGGGAAGGAUGAGAAGCUUCGACUAAGGUUCGGCUCGAGCGCCAGCGAGAGAGCGUUGCCGCAGGCAACGACCCGAAGGGCGAAGCGCGCAGCGCUGAGUAAUCCUUCCCCCACCACCA